UGCAUUUGUGGAAACAAAGAUUUCCCUGUGA
This 31-nucleotide non-coding RNA is filed under the name Mus musculus (house mouse). Lineage: Eukaryota; Metazoa; Chordata; Mammalia; Rodentia; Muridae. The record is from RNAcentral.